AGUGAACGCUGGCGGUAGGCCUAACACAUGCAAGUCGAACGGCAGCACAGCAAGAGCUUGCUCUUACGGGUGGCGAGUGGCGGACGGGUGAGGAAUACAUCGGAAUCUACUUUUUCGUAGGGGAUAACGUAGGGAAACUUACGCUAAUACCGCAUACGACCUACGGGUGAAAGCAGGGGAUCUUCGGACCUUGCGCGAUUGAAUGAGCCGAUGUCGGAUUAGCUAGUUGGCGGGGUAAAGGCCCACCAAGGCGACGAUCCGUAGCUGGUCUGAGAGGAUGAUCAGCCACACUGGAACUGAGACACGGUCCAGACUCCUACGGGAGGCAGCAGUGGGGAAUAUUGGACAAUGGGCGCAAGCCUGAUCCAGCCAUACCGCGUGGGUGAAGAAGGCCUUCGGGUUGUAAAGCCCUUUUGUUGGGAAAGAAAAGCAGCAGGUUAAUACCCCGCUGUUCUGACGGUACCCAAAGAAUAAGCACCGGCUAACUUCGUG
This 492-nucleotide ribosomal RNA is filed under the name uncultured bacterium. RNAcentral's name for it is "partial 16S ribosomal RNA". It matches the Rfam family "Bacterial small subunit ribosomal RNA", at positions 29 to 507 of the family's 1533-position model. The record is from RNAcentral.